This 285-nucleotide long non-coding RNA is filed under the name Elaeis guineensis (African oil palm). Its description in RNAcentral is "long non-coding RNA (EGUI_LNC057499)". The record is from RNAcentral. Lineage: Eukaryota; Viridiplantae; Streptophyta; Magnoliopsida; Arecales; Arecaceae.
AUGCCAAAUUAUCUCGACUCAAGUUCACUUGUGAAUUUCAUCAAAACUCCUUUCUAGUAUUCACACUUGGUUUAGCCAAAGUCUUUCUGAACUCACUCUCACAAAUCGCAUAGGACUUCUCCUUUUCUACCAAAGUCAAUAGAUUUCAUCUAGAUGCAUCCUACUCCUAAUAGCAAAUCUAAACCUACUAUAGCCAAUAUACACAGAAAGGACUCAAAUAACUAGGGAUCAAGAAAAUCUACAGUCAAACUUAGUUGUCUCGCUGUGAAUAGUCGAUGACACCGC